UUAGUGUUGCGUUUUGAACUUGAGUUUGUGUGUUUGUUGAACUUGAGUUUGUGGCGUGUUUGAACUCGAGUUUGUGGUGUUUUUCAGCUUCAGGUUUUGGCAAAUGUUAAACUUGAUAUUUGGGUGUUGUUUGAACUUGAGUUUGUGUUGUGUUUGAACUUGAGUUUGUGUUGUGUUUGAACCUGAGUUUGUGUCGUGUUUGAACUUGAGUUUGUCGUGUUUCAACUUGAGUUUGUGUCAUGUUUAAACUUGAGUUUGUUGCAAUUUUUUAACUUGAGUUUUGAACUUGAGUCUUUGGUUUUUAGUGUCCUUUAUUUGGUGGCAAUUGUUAAACU
Xyrichtys novacula (pearly razorfish) is the source of this 335-nucleotide non-coding RNA. The record is from the annotation of a GenBank genome assembly. Lineage: Eukaryota; Metazoa; Chordata; Actinopteri; Labriformes; Labridae.